CCCUUAGAUGUUCUGGGCCGCACGCGCGCUACACUGACUGCUCCAACAAGUUACCUGGGCUGACAAGCAUCCGGGAAAUCUUGCAAAGGCAGUCGUGAUGGGGAUAGAUUCUUGUAAUUUUUGAUCUUCAACGAGGAAUUCCUAGUAAACGCAAGUCAUCAGCUUGCAUUGAUUACGUCCCUGCCCUUUGUACACACCGCCCGUCGCAUCUACCGAUUGAAUGGAGAGACAAAAUCUUCGGACCGUGACGCUUGGGAGUCAAAUCUCGGGCUGUCGUGGGAAGUGGAUUAAACCUUUCUAUUUAGAGGAAGGUAAAGUCGUAACA
RNAcentral lists this ribosomal RNA (325 nucleotides) under uncultured eukaryote. RNAcentral's name for it is "partial 18S ribosomal RNA". It matches the Rfam family "Eukaryotic small subunit ribosomal RNA", at positions 1470 to 1796 of the family's 1831-position model. The record is from RNAcentral.